This 225-nucleotide unclassified non-coding RNA is filed under the name plant metagenome. RNAcentral's name for it is "partial contains small subunit ribosomal RNA, internal transcribed spacer 1, and 5.8S ribosomal RNA". The record is from RNAcentral.
UCUCCGUUGGUGAAUCAGCGGAGGGAUCAUUACAGGACUCGCAAGACUCCUACAACCCUGUGAACUUAACUAUAAGCACGUUGCUUCGGCGGGUGUCUCGGAGGGGGUUCUCCCUCCCCGAGACGCUAAACCCGCCGGCAGCCUACUAUACUCUGUCUCUUUGCGUUGGCAUCUCGAGUACAAUCAAACAAGUUAAAACUUUCAACAACGGAUCUCUUGGUUCUG